RNAcentral lists this ribosomal RNA (119 nucleotides) under Nicotiana sylvestris (wood tobacco). Lineage: Eukaryota; Viridiplantae; Streptophyta; Magnoliopsida; Solanales; Solanaceae. The record is from RNAcentral.
GGAUGCGAUCAUUUCAACACUAACACACCGGAUCCCAUCAAAAUUCCGUAGUCAGGCGUGCUUGGGCGAGGGUAGUACUAUGAUGGCUGACCCCCUAGGAAGUCUUCGUGUUGCAUCCC